UCCCAGCCGUAAACGAUGCGCGUUAGGUGUAUCGGUGACCACGAGUCACCGAGGUGCCGAAGGGAAACCGUGAAACGUGCCGCCUGGGAAGUACGGUCGCAAGGCUGAAACUUAAAGGAAUUGGCGGGGGAGCACCACAACAGGUGGAGCCUGCGGUUUAAUCGGACUCAACGCCGGGAAUCUCACCGGAUAAGACAGCUGGAUGAUAGCCGGGCUGAAGACUCUGCUUGACUAGCUGAGAGGAGGUGCAUGGCCGUCGUCAGUUCGUACUGUGAAGCAUCCUGUUAAGUCAGGCAACGAGCGAGACCCACGCCAACAGUUGCCAGCAUGUCCUCCGGGAUGGUGGGGACACUGUUGGGACCGCCUCUGCUA
Molecule: ribosomal RNA, 372 nt
Filed under: uncultured bacterium
Lineage: Bacteria
Description: bacterial SSU rRNA
Rfam family: Archaeal small subunit ribosomal RNA
Source: RNAcentral